AGCAGCCGCGGUAAUUCCAGCUCCAAUAGCGUAUAUUAAAGUUGUUGCAGUUAAAAAGCUCGUAGUUGAAUUUCGGGAUCAAUAUGCUGGUCGUGCCAUUGGUACGUACUAGUAUUAUUGGUUUCUCCUUUCUGAUGAAUCAUGAUGUCAUUAAUUUGAUGUCAUGAGGAAUCAGGACUGUUACUUUGAAAAAAUUAGAGUGUUUAAAGCAGGCUCGCGCUUGAAUACAUUAGCAUGGAAUAAUGAAAUAGGAUGUUUGAUUCUAUUUUGUUGGUUUCUAGGAUUGACGUAAUGAUUAAUAGGGAUAGUUGGGGGCAUUAGUAUUCAAUUGUCAGAGGUGAAAUUCUUGGAUUUAUUGAAGACUAACUACUGCGAAAGCAUUUGCCAAGGAUGUUUUCAUUAAUCAAGAACGAAAGUUAGGGGAUCGAAGACGAUCAGAUACCGUCGUAGUCUUAACCAUAAACUAUGCCGACUAGGGAUCGGAGAUGUU
Molecule: unclassified non-coding RNA, 490 nt
Filed under: uncultured Glomus
Lineage: Eukaryota; Fungi; Glomeromycota; Glomeromycetes; Glomerales; Glomeraceae
Description: SSU rRNA
Rfam family: Eukaryotic small subunit ribosomal RNA
Source: RNAcentral